UGCUGUCAUCCCAAAUGAGGCCGUGCCAUUCCAGUGCCAAAACAUAGAAUUAAUAGCUACAGGGAGAGCGAAAGUGUGGUGGAAUACAACUCUAAGCUAGUAAUAAGGAUGCUUCCAGCUGCAGUGAUCCAGUCCCUGCUUCAAAACAUGAACGGGGCAUUGAAACCUCUAGAAACAUAUCUGGUCAUGCUGCUGAGGAACAUAACACACUGAUCAAUUCAAUCAACCACCAUGGAAACAACGAAUUCCCUCUCAUGACUGGCUCCAAUAUGUGAUAAAACACUUACUAAUACCAAUGGACUUCUAAGGACACCACUUCGGACCAAGAACACAGAAAGUCUUCACGGUCACACAUAUUAGUCCUGUUAUUUACAUCCUUUCCAACUCAGAGUUUGUGUAUUUAUGCUCACCACAUCUGAAUCUGUGAAUUAAUGGGGUGCAACCACCACCUCUUUUUGCAUAUUUAGAACAAAAGGGAUGGCAUUCCUUGUUACAACUCUUCCACACUGCCACCACCUCUUUUCUCAACCCUGAAUCUGAACAAUAAACGGAACUUGAAUUUAAGUAAAGUGCUUCAGGCACAAGCUGGAUGUGCUUACUGAAUACUCAAUAAGAAA
Molecule: non-coding RNA, 617 nt
Organism: Meleagris gallopavo (turkey)
Lineage: Eukaryota; Metazoa; Chordata; Aves; Galliformes; Phasianidae
Source: RefSeq, a predicted model, not a curated record